This 809-nucleotide ribosomal RNA is filed under the name uncultured bacterium. RNAcentral describes it as "bacterial SSU rRNA". It matches the Rfam family "Bacterial small subunit ribosomal RNA", at positions 60 to 864 of the family's 1533-position model. The record is from RNAcentral.
AGUCGAGCGGUAGAGAGGAGCUUGCUUCCCUUGAGAGCGGCGGACGGGUGAGUAAUGCCUAGGAAUCUGCCUAGUGGUGGGGGAUAACGUUCGGAAACGGACGCUAAUACCGCAUACGUCCUACGGGAGAAAGCGGGGGACCUUCGGGCCUCGCGCCAUUAGAUGAGCCUAGGUCGGAUUAGCUAGUUGGUGAGGUAAAGGCGCACCAAGGCGACGAUCCGUAACUGGUCUGAGAGGAUGAUCAGUCACACUGGAACUGAGACACGGUCCAGACUCCUACGGGAGGCAGCAGUGGGGAAUAUUGGACAAUGGGGGAAACCCUGAUCCAGCCAUGCCGCGUGUGUGAAGAAGGUCUUCGGAUUGUAAAGCACUUUAAGUUGGGAGGAAGGGUAGUAACUUAAUACGUUGCUACUUUGACGUUACCGACAGAAUAAGCACCGGCCAACUCUGUGCCAGCAGCCGCGGUAAUACAGAGGGUGCAAGCGUUAAUCGGAAUUACUGGGCGUAAAGCGCGCGUAGGUGGUUUGUUAAGUUGGAUGUGAAAGCCCCGGGCUCAACCUGGGAACUGCAUCCAAAACUGGCAAGCUAGAGUACGGUAGAGGGUGGUGGAAUUUCCUGUGUAGCGGUGAAAUGCGUAGAUAUAGGAAGGAACACCAGUGGCGAAGGCGACCACCUGGACUGAUACUGACACUGAGGUGCGAAAGCGUGGGGAGCAAACAGGAUUAGAUACCCUGGUAGUCCACGCCGUAAACGAUGUCAACUAGCCGUUGGGUUCCUUGAGAGCUUAGUGGCGCAGCUAACGCAUUAAG